This 117-nucleotide ribosomal RNA is filed under the name Entamoeba bangladeshi. RNAcentral's name for it is "partial small subunit ribosomal RNA". Lineage: Eukaryota; Evosea; Mastigamoebida; Endamoebidae. The record is from RNAcentral.
AGUACAAAUUGGCCAUACUCUGUAAGGGGUAUGAAAAAUGACAUUCUAAGUGAGUUAGGAUGCCACGACAAUUGUAGAACACACAGUGUUUCACAAGUAAUCAAUGAAAAUUUCUGA